CUCUAGGAUCCCAUAGACAUGAUACAAUUCCACUGCUAAAUUCUCUUCUCAGAACCAAGUGGAAUUAGCCCCAAAUCCUUGACAAAGAAUGCUGGAGCCACGAUGAGGUCCCCUCCAAACAUGUUUAAUUUGGCCAAAUAUUUCAUCAGCACUUGUGACUCACUACUUCACCCAACUAAGGCUUCUCUCUGAAGGAUUCCAAUGAUGUUUAGGGUGUGCUU
Molecule: long non-coding RNA, 221 nt
Filed under: Elaeis guineensis (African oil palm)
Lineage: Eukaryota; Viridiplantae; Streptophyta; Magnoliopsida; Arecales; Arecaceae
Description: long non-coding RNA (EGUI_LNC045452)
Source: RNAcentral